Molecule: long non-coding RNA, 3030 nt
Organism: Rhododendron vialii
Lineage: Eukaryota; Viridiplantae; Streptophyta; Magnoliopsida; Ericales; Ericaceae
Exons: 9
Source: RefSeq, a predicted model, not a curated record
UACUCCUAACUUUUUUGUACUCUCUCUCAACACAUUCUAGAGAGAGAAAGAGAAGCGGUUGUGUCUGUGCACAAUGCAACGAAUCGUACCGUUGAAGGUGUGUUUGGGAGCAUUUUUCUUCUCGUACAAGUUUUGUUCCGGAGGGGUUCGUUUCCAAUUUCAAAAUCCCUCUCUCUCUCUCUCUCGGAGGAAGGAGGAAGGAGAUAAUGCAGGUUCUGUCUCUGCGGCUUCAAUACAACCGUCGGAAAACCGCCCUGGCGGACAUCAGCACAAGACAACUCCCAGUUCUGAAGAUCAGCCUCGACGGCGUUGCCAACAACCACCAGCGGUUGGAGAUUACAAACCGAAAUUUGGGAGAUAACGGAGACGUGAGACUUUUCCAGGUGAUGAGGAAGGGAGGAAUUGGGAAGUGACGCGAGCUUCCGAAACGUUCCCUUUUCUACCUCUCUAAUUAUACAGAUUUUUGUUUAGCUUCUGCACCCGUAUUUUGUUGCCUUCAUCAAAGUGAAGUCUGUUUGAACCCCAAAAAUUGGAUUGUUUAUGUUUUUUGUAUCAUAAAUACAUUCUAAUCCGGAAAUUCUCAUGGUGUCAUAGACCGAAUAGAAGCUACGUGUCUGUGACAUCUGUGGAGCAUUUUUGAGCAUCUAGGUAGGACAGGUAAAUCUUCUUUUUAGUCUUCUGUAAUUGCAGUUACCGUUCUACUUUGUUAAGGACGACAAAGAUCUAGUACUUGGGGUUUUAGGUACUUCAGCUUUUGACAUGGUGAUUAUACCUCCUUGUUGCCCGCAGGCUUUUCACCCAGUUUUGGAGGAUAAACUUUUGCAGCUAAAGAAUUGACCGCUGUUUAGCUGAUCAUUUUGGAGGAAAGCUUAACUUGGGCUAUAUGCAAGUCCGUGAGAAGUUAGCUGAGCUUCUGGUUCUGCUGGAGUCACAAUUGCCUUUUUAUGAUAUUUAGUUCUUGUAAGUAUAAUGACUUCUCUUAUUAGACCCUUGGUUGUUGGAGGUUGAGGUCGAAAAACUUGAAUAUAAUUGCCAUUUGAUUGAGAUUUCAGUUGAAAGCAUGGUAUUUAACCCGGGCAAAUAAAUAUGGUUUUUAAUUGACCCAGUGAAUUAAAUUAUUCUUCAGUUGAAGUUGAACAGGUUCUUGUUGAGUGGGCUUUGGAGAAAAACAGUUUUCUAGUGGUAUUUAACCCGGGCAAAUAAAUAUGGAUUUUAAUUGACUCGGUGAAUUAAACUAUUCUUCAGUUGAAGUUGAACAGGUUCUUGUUGAGUGGGCUUUGGAGAAAAACAGUUUUCUAGUGGAACUUGAACAUGUUUGUGUUGACUAGGCUUUCAGACAUUGAGAGGCUAUGGUUAAUGCAUAGCUUAUGUAGAGUGUCUAUAGGGAAUAUCUCUAGCUUGACUGCCUGAUGCAUUGAAUUUUUUUCAAAUGGGUGUUUCAGUAGUGCUCUCCUCUCAAUUAAUUUUUCAGGAAGAGAGGAACAAUCAAUAGAUGGUCUUAGAAGAGGAGAGAAGCUAUUUCAGAUUCAUUUUUUUGUUUUGUUUUCUCUCUUCCUUAUCUAGAGGCCUUUAAACCACGACCUCCCUAGUGGGGCUGGGUCUUGGAUUGAUUCUCUAAUUGUACAGAUUUUUUUCGGCUUCUGCACCCGUAUUUUGUUGCCGGAGAAGCUAAACGAGGUUUUGGGAGGGCUGGAGACGCUGCGGCUGUGCAAACGAGGUAUUGGAAGGGCUGGCGAUGCUUCGGCUAUGCAAAAGGAUUGACACGGAAGCGUUACCAUUUCUCCUCGGCGUAGGCCAUUUGAAGGUAUUGAAAUUGCCCCAAUGCCAGUCUCACGUCUAUAAAUGUAUGAAGGUUUGUAAUUAGUGUUCUUUCACUGCAAAUUUGGUCUUUGUUUAGUACUGCUUCAGUACUUAUCCCCUAUUUUAUCCUGUGUGUUUGUUCCUGGGUCAAUUUCAGUGAAUUUGCUGUUAGAUUGCAAUGAGGAUGAAAAAAGCCCCGUCUUUUGCCUCUAAAGUCGAGGACGGAUUGAAGCCAAGAAGACUUUUAUCUACUCAAAAAAUACCCUCAUUAAAAAAUCACCUAAUCAAAAAGUAACACUUGUUACGACAGUUACAAACCAAGAGCUCACACCCCACGUUCAGUUCCCUCCAAAAACCAACCAACUCCUUUCUCUUCUUCCCCACGCAUUACUCCCACAAAAAACAGUUUGCUCCAAAACCCACCCUACUCCUUCCCCACGCACAGACAUGGUUCUAAAUUCAUAAAGUUUUCUAUGCAGGUGCUUUUUGAACUGGACUUUGUAAAAUUCUAUAUGCUGAAGGCGGCCAAAGAUGAGAACCAAAGAAGUUACUCAUGCUCGACUCAUUAAAAUCUUGUUCAAGAACGGUUUGUUAUACGAGGCUGUUGCAGCCUUCUAUUUUGUUUUCAAAUGUUGAGCCAGGCCCAAGUUUAUUGUCAUUGAUUGGUUCUUAAUCAAAACAGCUAUCUGGGGGCGAAGUUAAUAUCCUUGAACAUAGACUGGAGACUACAGAGAAGACUAUCCAAAUUUCUGGUACUCUAGAAGGUGACCUUUGAAUUCAUGUGGUACUGUAGACUUGGUCGCAGUUAUGAAUCUAUCUAUAUGUACAAGUCUUGAGGAAUACCGCCACAAAUAGUACAUGCGUGUCUAUCAACCACUCCAUCAUCCUCAGCUCUUUGUUUGAAUAGCCUUGGUGGGAAGCGCAAGCCAGAAUUUAGUAUGAAACUUUAACAUGGAGAUAGUGUGGAUGUACUUAAAGUUCAUUAUCUCUGCUUGAUCUCAAGCAACUGUAGAAGACCCAUUGUCUUAAGCAACUAUCCCUAUAUUGUUUGCUGGGCAAGGAUAAUUGCAGAGGAGAUGUUCGCCAAAGAUGUCCCAUUCUACCUUGAAAUGGAUGUGCCAAAGAAGCACAAUUGUGGAGGGAGGUAAUGCAAAUUCAUUUUUAACAAUAAAAUAUUGUGCACGUUAGAAGGCUGGAAGAACAUUUUGUUACAUGUUUGUAGUUUGUCUA